Molecule: ribosomal RNA, 2402 nt
Filed under: Klebsiella pneumoniae
Lineage: Bacteria; Pseudomonadati; Pseudomonadota; Gammaproteobacteria; Enterobacterales; Enterobacteriaceae
Description: bacterial LSU rRNA
Rfam family: Bacterial large subunit ribosomal RNA
Source: RNAcentral
CCUGUCUGAAUAUGGGGGGACCAUCCUCCAAGGCUAAAUACUCCUGACUGACCGAUAGUGAACCAGUACCGUGAGGGAAAGGCGAAAAGAACCCCGGCGAGGGGAGUGAAAAAGAACCUGAAACCGUGUACGUACAAGCAGUGGGAGCACCUUCGGGUGUGACUGCGUACCUUUUGUAUAAUGGGUCAGCGACUUAUAUUCUGUAGCAAGGUUAACCGUAUAGGGGAGCCGCAGGGAAACCGAGUCUUAACUGGGCGUUAAGUUGCAGGGUAUAGACCCGAAACCCGGUGAUCUAGCCAUGGGCAGGUUGAAGGUUGGGUAACACUAACUGGAGGACCGAACCGACUAAUGUUGAAAAAUUAGCGGAUGACUUGUGGCUGGGGGUGAAAGGCCAAUCAAACCGGGAGAUAGCUGGUUCUCCCCGAAAGCUAUUUAGGUAGCGCCUCGUGAACUCAUCUUCGGGGGUAGAGCACUGUUUCGGCUAGGGGGUCAUCCCGACUUACCAACCCGAUGCAAACUACGAAUACCGAAGAAUGUUAUCACGGGAGACACACGGCGGGUGCUAACGUCCGUCGUGAAGAGGGAAACAACCCAGACCGCCAGCUAAGGUCCCAAAGUCAUGGUUAAGUGGGAAACGAUGUGGGAAGGCACAGACAGCCAGGAUGUUGGCUUAGAAGCAGCCAUCAUUUAAAGAAAGCGUAAUAGCUCACUGGUCGAGUCGGCCUGCGCGGAAGAUGUAACGGGGCUAAACCAUGCACCGAAGCUGCGGCAGCGACACUAUGUGUUGUUGGGUAGGGGAGCGUUCUGUAAGCCUGCGAAGGUGUGCUGUGAGGCAUGCUGGAGGUAUCAGAAGUGCGAAUGCUGACAUAAGUAACGAUAAAGCGGGUGAAAAGCCCGCUCGCCGGAAGACCAAGGGUUCCUGUCCAACGUUAAUCGGGGCAGGGUGAGUCGACCCCUAAGGCGAGGCCGAAAGGCGUAGUCGAUGGGAAACAGGUUAAUAUUCCUGUACUUGGUGUUACUGCGAAGGGGGGACGGAGAAGGCUAUGUUAGCCGGGCGACGGUUGUCCCGGUUUAAGCAUGUAGGCUGAUUGUCCAGGCAAAUCCGGAUAAUCAAGGCUGAGGUGUGAUGACGAGGCACUACGGUGCUGAAGUAACAAAUGCCCUGCUUCCAGGAAAAGCCUCUAAGCAUCAGGUAACAUCAAAUCGUACCCCAAACCGACACAGGUGGUCAGGUAGAGAAUACCAAGGCGCUUGAGAGAACUCGGGUGAAGGAACUAGGCAAAAUGGUGCCGUAACUUCGGGAGAAGGCACGCUGGUGUGUAGGUGAAGUCCCUGCGGAUGGAGCUGAGACCAGUCGAAGAUACCAGCUGGCUGCAACUGUUUAUUAAAAACACAGCACUGUGCAAACACGAAAGUGGACGUAUACGGUGUGACGCCUGCCCGGUGCCGGAAGGUUAAUUGAUGGGGUUAUCCGUAAGGAGAAGCUCUUGAUCGAAGCCCCGGUAAACGGCGGCCGUAACUAUAACGGUCCUAAGGUAGCGAAAUUCCUUGUCGGGUAAGUUCCGACCUGCACGAAUGGCGUAAUGAUGGCCAGGCUGUCUCCACCCGAGACUCAGUGAAAUUGAACUCGCUGUGAAGAUGCAGUGUACCCGCGGCAAGACGGAAAGACCCCGUGAACCUUUACUAUAGCUUGACACUGAACAUUGAGCCUUGAUGUGUAGGAUAGGUGGGAGGCUUUGAAGCGUGGACGCCAGUCUGCGUGGAGCCAACCUUGAAAUACCACCCUUUAAUGUUUGAUGUUCUAACGUUGGCCCCUGACCGGGGUUGCGGACAGUGUCUGGUGGGUAGUUUGACUGGGGCGGUCUCCUCCCAAAGCGUAACGGAGGAGCACGAAGGUUAGCUAAUCCUGGUCGGACAUCAGGAGGUUAGUGCAAUGGCAUAAGCUAGCUUGACUGCGAGCGUGACGGCGCGAGCAGGUGCGAAAGCAGGUCAUAGUGAUCCGGUGGUUCUGAAUGGAAGGGCCAUCGCUCAACGGAUAAAAGGUACUCCGGGGAUAACAGGCUGAUACCGCCCAAGAGUUCAUAUCGACGGCGGUGUUUGGCACCUCGAUGUCGGCUCAUCACAUCCUGGGGCUGAAGUAGGUCCCAAGGGUAUGGCUGUUCGCCAUUUAAAGUGGUACGCGAGCUGGGUUUAGAACGUCGUGAGACAGUUCGGUCCCUAUCUGCCGUGGGCGCUGGAGAAUUGAGGGGGGCUGCUCCUAGUACGAGAGGACCGGAGUGGACGCAUCACUGGUGUUCGGGUUGUCAUGCCAAUGGCACUGCCCGGUAGCUAAAUGCGGAAGAGAUAAGUGCUGAAAGCAUCUAAGCACGAAACUUGCCCCGAGAUGAGUUCUCCCUGAGACU